CAAUAGCGUAUAUUAAAGUUGUUGCAGUUAAAAAGCUCGUAGUUGAACUUCAGACCUGGCCGGGCGGUCUGCCUAACGGUAUGUACUGUCUGGCUGGGUCUUACCUCUUGGUGAGCCGGCAUGCCCUUUACUGGGUGUGUCGGGGAACCAGGACUUUUACCUUGAGAAAAUUAGAGUGUUCAAAGCAGGCCUAUGCCUGAAUACAUUAGCAUGGAAUAAUAAAAUAGGACGUGCGGUUCUAUUUUGUUGGUUUCUAGAGUCGCCGUAAUGAUUAAUAGGGAUAGUUGGGGGCAUUAGUAUUCAGUUGCUAGAGGUGAAAUUCUUGGAUUUACUGAAGACUAACUACUGCGAAAGCAUUUGCCAAGGAUGUUUUCAUUGA
RNAcentral lists this ribosomal RNA (379 nucleotides) under uncultured eukaryote. RNAcentral describes it as "partial 18S ribosomal RNA". It matches the Rfam family "Eukaryotic small subunit ribosomal RNA", at positions 592 to 976 of the family's 1831-position model. The record is from RNAcentral.